Molecule: ribosomal RNA, 918 nt
Filed under: Escherichia coli
Lineage: Bacteria; Pseudomonadati; Pseudomonadota; Gammaproteobacteria; Enterobacterales; Enterobacteriaceae
Description: partial 23S ribosomal RNA
Rfam family: Bacterial large subunit ribosomal RNA
Source: RNAcentral
AGAUUCCCCCAGUAGCGGCGAGCGAACGGGGAGGAGCCCAGAGCCUGAAUCAGUGUGUGUGUUAGUGGAAGCGUCUGGAAAGGCGCGCGAUACAGGGUGACAGCCCCGUACACAAAAAUGCACAUAUUGUGAGCUCGAUGAGUAGGGCGGGACACGUGGUAUCCUGUCUGAAUAUGGGGGGACCAUCCUCCAAGGCUAAAUACUCCUGACUGACCGAUAGUGAACCAGUACCGUGAGGGAAAGGCGAAAAGAACCCCGGCGAGGGGAGUGAAAAAGAACCUGAAACCGUGUACGUACAAGCAGUGGGAGCCUCUUAAUGGGGUGACUGCGUACCUUUUGUAUAAUGGGUCAGCGACUUAUAUUCUGUAGCAAGGUUAACCGAAUAGGGGAGCCGAAGGGAAACCGAGUCUUAACUGGGCGUUAAGUUGCAGGGUAUAGACCCGAAACCCGGUGAUCUAGCCAUGGGCAGGUUGAAGGUUGGGUAACACUAACUGGAGGACCGAACCGACUAAUGUUGAAAAAUUAGCGGAUGACUUGUGGCUGGGGGUGAAAGGCCAAUCAAACCGGGAGAUAGCUGGUUCUCCCCGAAAGCUAUUUAGGUAGCGCCUCGUGAAUUCAUCUCCGGGGGUAGAGCACUGUUUCGGCAAGGGGGUCAUCCCGACUUACCAACCCGAUGCAAACUGCGAAUACCGGAGAAUGUUAUCACGGGAGACACACGGCGGGUGCUAACGUCCGUCGUGAAGAGGGAAACAACCCAGACCGCCAGCUAAGGUCCCAAAGUCAUGGUUAAGUGGGAAACGAUGUGGGAAGGCCCAGACAGCCAGGAUGUUGGCUUAGAAGCAGCCAUCAUUUAAAGAAAGCGUAAUAGCUCACUGGUCGAGUCGGCCUGCGCGGAAGAUGUAACGGGGCUAAACCAUG